CAGGGAUUGCCUCAGUAACGGCGAGUGAAGCGGCAACAGCUCAAAUUUGAAAUCUGACCCCCCCGGGGCCUGAGUUGUAAUUUGUAGAGGGUGCUUCGGGCGCGGCGCCGGUCUAAGUUUCUUGGAACAGAACGUCGCAGAGGGUGAGAAUCCCGUACGUGACCGGUGACCAAGCCCGUGUGAAGCCCCUUCGACGAGUCGAGUUGUUUGGGAAUGCAGCUCAAAAUGGGUGGUAAAUUCCAUCUAAAGCUAAAUAUUGGCCAGAGACCGAUAGCGGACAAGUAGAGUGAUCGAAAGAUGAAAAGCACUUUGGAAAGAGAGUUAAACAGUACGUGAAAUUGUUGAAAGGAAAGCGCUUGCGACCAGACCGGUCCGGGGGCGAUCAGCCGCUGCUCGUCAGCGGUGCACUCGCCUCCGAUCCGGCCAGCAUCGGUUUGGGCGGCGGGAUAAAAGUCCCGGGAAUGUAGCUUCCCUCGGGGAGUCUUAUAGCCCGGGUCGCAAUGCCGCCCGCCUGGACCGAGGACCGCGCUUCGGCUAGGAUGCUGGCGUAAUGGUCGCAAGCGACCCGUCUUGAAACACGGACCAAGGAGUCUAACAUCUAUGCGAGUGUUUGGGUGUCAAACCCAGGCGCGGAAUGAAAGUGAACGGAGGUGGGAACCCGUCAGACGGCGCACCAUCGACCGAUCCUGAUGUCUUCGGAUGGAUUUGAGUAUGAGCAUAGCUGUUGGGACCCGAAAGAUGGUGAACUAUGCCCGGAUAGGGUGAAGCCAGAGGAAACUCUGGUGGAGGCUCGCAGCGGUUCUGACGUGCAAAUCGAUCGUCAAAUCUAGGCAUAGGGGCGAAAGACCAAUCGAACCAUCUAG
This 863-nucleotide ribosomal RNA is filed under the name Ricasolia amplissima. RNAcentral describes it as "LSU rRNA". It matches the Rfam family "Eukaryotic large subunit ribosomal RNA", at positions 69 to 947 of the family's 3401-position model. The record is from RNAcentral. Lineage: Eukaryota; Fungi; Ascomycota; Lecanoromycetes; Peltigerales; Lobariaceae.